Molecule: ribosomal RNA, 277 nt
Filed under: uncultured bacterium
Lineage: Bacteria
Description: partial 16S ribosomal RNA
Rfam family: Bacterial small subunit ribosomal RNA
Source: RNAcentral
CCCCGCCUACGGGACGCAGCAGUGAGGAAUAUUGGUCAAUGGGCGGGAGCCUGAACCAGCCAAGCCGCGUGAGGGAAGAAGGUACAGCGUAUCGUAAACCUCUUUUGUCAGGGAACAAAGGCGGGGACUAGUCCCCGGAUGAGGGUACCUGAAGAAAAAGCAUCGGCUAACUCCGUGCCAGCAGCCGCGGUAAUACGGAGGAUGCGAGCGUUAUCCGGAUUUAUUUGGUUUAAAGGGUGCGCAGGCGGCCUGUUAAGUCAGCGGUAAAAACCCGGGG